Molecule: ribosomal RNA, 374 nt
Filed under: uncultured bacterium
Lineage: Bacteria
Description: bacterial SSU rRNA
Rfam family: Bacterial small subunit ribosomal RNA
Source: RNAcentral
GGACGGUGCGAGCGUUAUCCGGAUUUACUGGGUUUAAAGGGUGUGUAGGCGGGCUGGUAAGUCAGGGGUGAAAUCCCGGAGCUCAACUCCGGAACUGCCUUUGAUACUACUGGUCUUGAAUAUUGUUGAGGUGGGCGGAAUGUGUCAUGUAGCGGUGAAAUGCAUAGAUAUGACACAGAACACCGAUUGCGAAGGCAGCUCACUGGGCAAUGAUUGACGCUGAGGCACGAAAGCGUGGGGAUCAAACAGGAUUAGAUACCCUGGUAGUCCACGCCCUAAACGAUGAUUACUGGACGUUGGCAAUAUGACCGAUCAGCGUCUUUGAUAAGCGAAAGCAUUAAGUAAUCCACCUGGGAAGUACGACCGCAAGGUUG